Molecule: unclassified non-coding RNA, 362 nt
Filed under: uncultured bacterium
Lineage: Bacteria
Description: contains 16S-23S intergenic spacer region
Source: RNAcentral
UCUCCCGUGAGGGAGCAGUCUCGCCUGACAUAGAAAACAGGCAACGGGGGUUGCGUUCGUUACCCCACUGAAGGGAACAACUCAAGCCACGAACUGACGACGACCAUGCAUCACCUGUCCAGCCGUCUUGCGAGGUCUCUAGUUUCUUAGAGAUUUCGUCUGGAUGUCUAAUCCUGGUGAGGUUCUUCGUUUGUCAUCGAAUUGAGCCGCAUGAUCCACCGCUUGUGCAAGUCCCCGUCUAUUCCUUUGAGUUUUAAUCUUGCGAUCGUACUACCCAGGCGCAUCACUUAACGCGUUAGCUUCGCCUCAAAGAGGGUCGAUACUCCUUAAAGCCAGUGAUGAUCGUUUAGGGCGUGGACUAC